Molecule: microRNA precursor, 126 nt
Filed under: Myotis lucifugus (little brown bat)
Lineage: Eukaryota; Metazoa; Chordata; Mammalia; Chiroptera; Vespertilionidae
Description: mir-9193 microRNA precursor family
Rfam family: mir-9193 microRNA precursor family
Source: Rfam by way of RNAcentral
CAUGCACUGGUGGGGUUCCUCGGCCUGGCCUGCAUCCUCUCACAAUCCAGGACCCCUUGGGGGAUGUUAGAGAGCCAGUUUUGGCCCGAUCCUGCAGGCCAGGCCGAGGGACCCCACCAGUGCAUG